AUGAUCUUGAGAUUAUGGCCUUUGGAAGAAUCAACAGAAGGUUCAGAUUCAGGAAUCUGUUGAAAGUGAUAACCCAGCUAAGAUAGAUUUAAGAAAAGAGGAUCUUGGAAUCAAGGUUAAUAGACUUAAGGAGCUCUAGAGCAGGAAACAGUGGCAGCAGCUGUGUCAUAAAGUUUAAAAAGUCUUGGGAUCCUGUUGGAGAUGGACAAAUACCCAGGGAAGAUCAGCUGCAAGGCUCUCAGCAUGGACUGUAGGGUUGCCUGGUGUAAAUGUGGAAUGCUGUGUUCGCACACGGAAGAGGAACCUAUGUCACUCGACAGAGGCCAAGCUCAAUUUAACACUGGACUUCCAGGCCAGAAACACUCCAAAGGAAAAUGGAAAUAAAAGUGUUCAAAACGAGUCACAUCUGCUUCUACAUUUAUGAGACAGGAGAGAUUUUGGUGGAUUACUUCAAUUUUGAAAGUACUGAAGAUGCUACACCCGUUGUAAUGGAAGAAGGCUCAGGGUGCAGUGGUUCCCAAAGGAACCCAAACCCCAAGGCAUUUGAGGGAGAAUCCUCUGAAAAGGACUGAAAAGAUCAGAAAACUAGAGAGAAGAGUAAUUGGACUUUAAGGUCUUUGGAGUUCAAAAAGUUUACAGUAGGAAGAGGGACCCAUUUUGGACUUGAAUUUCUCUGGUAAUUUAAUAAUGGGAAGGGCUUCACAUUGUUCCAUUUUCAGCCAUUCUUUGUUGUUUCAUUUUGACUUUUAAAAGUAAUUUUGUUGACCAAUUUUGGACAAUAUGACUAGGCAUGAUUUCAGAUGGGAAAUAAACUAGGAAGUGAAUAUUUGGCCUAGGGUGCAAUGUGGCCAUGAAGUUAAAUUGACUAAUAACCUGUUACAACCCAUUGCAGAAACUCUUAGGAGGACCAGCUCAACUCUCAGGGGUCCCAGGGAUUUACGGUGAGGAGCGGUGGUAAUAACUGAGGGAGCUGCUAAUCUCUCGCAGUUGGACAAUCCUGGCUGAACAAAGGUUUGAUUAUUAAGCCCAGUUGUUAAAGAGAGAAUAAAUAAUGGGGUAUAUGGGGAUUGUUCAGCUUCUCUUCCUGCAUUUCUGCCAGAGCUCGUGAAGGGAGAAACUUCCACCCAAGCUUUUGCCUCUACCUACCCUCUUGUUAGAUGCUCCAUAUGGAAGAAGUGACUAGUCUGGUCAGAGACUCUGGGGACAUUCUCUAGAGGGAGGGAUCAUGACAUUGAAAGACACUCACUUUUCUUUCUUACAGGUCCAAUGCCUGCUUUUUCAUUUCCUACCCCUAGAAGCAGUGGGUGGUUUUGCACAUAAUUCUCUCCAUGUAGUAAAGCAAAUCAAGGGGGAGUUGGAAGUAGGUGGGCUACCUCUGGUAAGGAGGCCUAAUCCUCCUCCUCUCCCAUUUCAG
This 1414-nucleotide long non-coding RNA is filed under the name Equus asinus (donkey). RNAcentral describes it as "lncRNA (ENSEASG00005029084.1)". The record is from RNAcentral. Lineage: Eukaryota; Metazoa; Chordata; Mammalia; Perissodactyla; Equidae.